CAUGAAGUCUAUCUUCUAUUUACCAGACGAAAUUCUCAAGUAAUGAACACUUCACUGGAAUGAAAGAAUAGUCUAAGACUUUAUCUAUGGCAAUAUGACAAUUACUUUGUGAAAAAGAACCAUGACAACAUGGAGAAUAAUGCAUUAUGUUGGACAACUGAUGAAGACUAAAUAUCUUAUGAUGAGAACAGUACCUUUAUAAUCAAUGGCAAAUCCUGACAUUCCAACAGAAGCAUCACUGCGAAAAGCCAGAAACAGAC
Molecule: long non-coding RNA, 260 nt
Organism: Corapipo altera (White-ruffed manakin)
Lineage: Eukaryota; Metazoa; Chordata; Aves; Passeriformes; Pipridae
Exons: 3
Source: RefSeq, a predicted model, not a curated record